GAUAUCAAGUGUAGGUCGUUGUAUGCCAUAUGCGUUGGUUAUCCUCGUAACCAAAUAGUAUUGAGACACUGGUAUGACAUGCAGGUGAGAUGUAGAAGUACAUCAUCAUUGAACGUGACCAACUGUGGAGUACUCUGUUGCUAAGAGUAGCUCACAAAAGAUAUGAGUAUAAGUGUCCCUCCGAUCUGAGAUCACCAUGGUGACUUGCAAGCA
This 213-nucleotide long non-coding RNA is filed under the name Elaeis guineensis (African oil palm). RNAcentral describes it as "long non-coding RNA (EGUI_LNC062791)". Lineage: Eukaryota; Viridiplantae; Streptophyta; Magnoliopsida; Arecales; Arecaceae. The record is from RNAcentral.